ACCCGCUGAACUUAAGCAUAUCAAUAAGCGGAGGAAAAGAAACCAACAGGGAUUGCCCCAGUAACGGCGAGUGAAGCGGCAACAGCUCAAAUUUGAAAUCUGGUCCCCCCGCGGGGCCCGAGUUGUAAUUUGAAGAGGAUGCUUCUGGCAAGGUGCCGUCCGAGUUCCCUGGAACGGGACGCCGCAGAGGGUGAGAGCCCCGUACGGUCGGACGCCGAGCCUCUGUGAAGCUCCUUCGACGAGUCGAGUAGUUUGGGAAUGCUGCUCAAAAUGGGAGGUAAACCCCUUCUAAAGCUAAAUACCGGCCAGAGACCGAUAGCGCACAAGUAGAGUGAUCGAAAGAUGAAAAGCACUUUGAAAAGAGAGUUAAAAAGCACGUGAAAUUGUUGAAAGGGAAGCGCUUGCGACCAGACUCGCGCCCGUCGGAUCAGCCGUCGCUCGUCGGCGGCGCACUCCGGCGGGCUCGGGCCAGCAUCAGUUCGCCUCGGGGGGAGAAAGGCGGCGGGAAUGUGGCUCUACGGAGUGUUAUAGCCCGCCGCGUAAUACCCCCGGGCGGACUGAGGACCGCGCGUAUGCAAGGAUGCUGGCGUAAUGGUCGUCAGCGACCCGUCUUGAAACACGGACCAAGGAGUCGUCCUAAUAUGCGAGUGUACGGGUGUCAAACCCCUGCGCGUAAUGAAAGUGAACGGAGGUGAGAGCUUCGGCGCAUCAUCGACCGAUCCUGAUGUUCUCGGAUGGAUUUGAGUAAGAGCAUAUUGGGCCGGACCCGAAAGAAGGUGAACUAUGCCUGUGUAGGGUAAAGCCAGAGGAAACUCUGGUGGAGGCUCGCAGCGGUUCUGACGUGCAAAUCGAUCGUCAAACAUGGGCAUGGGGGCGAAAGACUAAUCGAACCUUCUAGUAGCUGGUUUCCGCCGAGUUYYUCCCCUC
Molecule: small RNA, 927 nt
Filed under: Microascus cinereus
Lineage: Eukaryota; Fungi; Ascomycota; Sordariomycetes; Microascales; Microascaceae
Description: eukaryotic LSU rRNA
Rfam family: Eukaryotic large subunit ribosomal RNA
Source: RNAcentral